AGAAUUAUGCCCGAAUGUUUAAGGACCACGUUGAUGUCGUGGCUAAUGGGGGUUCAAAUCCCCCUAAUUCUA
Non-coding RNA from Esox lucius (northern pike), 72 nucleotides. The record is from Ensembl. Lineage: Eukaryota; Metazoa; Chordata; Actinopteri; Esociformes; Esocidae.